This 240-nucleotide ribosomal RNA is filed under the name uncultured Scutellospora. RNAcentral's name for it is "partial 18S ribosomal RNA". It matches the Rfam family "Eukaryotic small subunit ribosomal RNA", at positions 569 to 815 of the family's 1831-position model. The record is from RNAcentral. Lineage: Eukaryota; Fungi; Glomeromycota; Glomeromycetes; Diversisporales; Gigasporaceae.
AGCAGCCGCGGUAAUUCCAGCUCCAAUAGCGUAUAUUAAAGUUGUUGCAGUUAAAAAGCUCGCAGUUGAAUUUCGGGGUUCUACCGUUGGUCAGGCUAUUGUCUGUACUGGCGUGUAGAAUUUCUACCUUCUGGGGAACUAUCAUGUUAUUAAUUUAGCGUGGUAGGAAACCAGGACCUUUACCUUGAAAAAAUUAGAGUGUUCAAAGCAGGCUUAUGUCUGAAUACAUUAGCAUGGAAU